ACCUACGGCCAUACCACCCUGAACGCGCCCGAUCUCGUCUGAUCUCGGAAGCUAAGCAGGGUCGGGCCUGGUUAGUACUUGGAUGGGAUUCCCCCUGGGAAUACCGGGUGCUGUAGGCU
Mus musculus (house mouse) is the source of this 119-nucleotide non-coding RNA. NCBI's taxonomy places the organism in Eukaryota, Metazoa, Chordata, Mammalia, Rodentia, Muridae. The record is from Rfam.